GGUCCUAUAGUGUAGCUUGGUUAUCACUUUCGGUUUUGAUUGUCACUAUCAAACUUCCGAACAACAUCAGUUCGAAUCUGGUUAGGACCU
Molecule: non-coding RNA, 90 nt
Organism: Lodderomyces orthopsilosis Co 90-125
Lineage: Eukaryota; Fungi; Ascomycota; Pichiomycetes; Serinales; Debaryomycetaceae
Source: the annotation of a RefSeq genome assembly